GACGAACGCUGGCGGCGUGCUUAACACAUGCAAGUCGAACGGAAAGGCCCGGCUUUGGUGGGGUGCUCUAGUGGCGAACGGGUGAGGAACACGUGAGUAACCUGCCCUUGACUGUGGGAUAUCUUCAUGAAACUGGGGCUAAUACCGGAUAGGAGCUCCUGCUUCAUGGUGGGCGUUGGAAAGUUUCGGUGGUUGGGGGUGGACUCGCGGCUUAUCAGCGUGGUGGUGGGGUAGUGGCUUACCAAGGCUUUGACGGGUAGCGGGCCUGAGAGGGUGACCGGCCAAAUUGGAACUGGGAUGCGGCCCAGCCCACUACGGGAGGCGGCAGUGGGGAAGAUUACACAAUGGGCGGAAGCCUAAUGCAGCAACGCCGCGUGCGGGAUAACGGCCUUCGGGUUGUAAACCGCUUUCGCCUGUGACGAAGCGUGAGUGACGGUAAUGGGUAAAGAAGCCCCGGCUAACUACGUG
This 468-nucleotide ribosomal RNA is filed under the name uncultured bacterium. RNAcentral's name for it is "partial 16S ribosomal RNA". It matches the Rfam family "Bacterial small subunit ribosomal RNA", at positions 28 to 507 of the family's 1533-position model. The record is from RNAcentral.